AAGAUUUUAGUUUAAUUUUGAAUUUAGAAUUGUAAAUUCUAGGGUUUUUGUCUUG
This 55-nucleotide transfer RNA is filed under the name Tetrameres grusi. Its description in RNAcentral is "tRNA-Tyr". The record is from RNAcentral. Lineage: Eukaryota; Metazoa; Nematoda; Chromadorea; Rhabditida; Tetrameridae.